UACGUAGGGUCCGAGCGUUGUCCGGAAUUAUUGGGCGUAAAGGGCUCGUAGGCGGUCCGUCACGUCGGGAGUGAAAACUCAGGGCUCAACCCUGAGCGUGCUUCCGAUACGGGCGGACUAGAGGUAUGCAGGGGAGAACGGAAUUCCUGGUGUAGCAGUGAAAUGCGUAGAUAUCAGGAGGAAUACCGAUGGCGAAGGCAGGUCUCUGGGCUGACACUGACGCUCAUGCACGAAAGCGUGGGGAGCAAACAGG
RNAcentral lists this ribosomal RNA (253 nucleotides) under uncultured bacterium. Its description in RNAcentral is "partial 16S ribosomal RNA". It matches the Rfam family "Bacterial small subunit ribosomal RNA", at positions 524 to 776 of the family's 1533-position model. The record is from RNAcentral.